AUGACACCAAGGGGAGGAAAUCUCCUAGAGUUUUUCAAUGACCUAAUCAGUCCUAUAACUGGAAGCUGGGACGAGCAUCUGGUCCGAGACACAUUCUGGACCGCGGAUGCAGAUUGCAUAUUGAAGAUACCGGUCAGGGAGGGGGUUCAAGACUUCAUAGCCUGGCAGUUUGACCCUAAAGGCGUGCAUUCGGUAAAAAGCGCUUAUAAGCUUCACACCCAUCUCGAGAAAAUGGAGAAGGACGGGGGUGCUGGCAGCAGCUCCAUGGUGCCGGGGACUUUGGACACUUGCCAGGACGAUGCUUGGAAACGGAUAUGGAAACUUCCUUGCCCAAGGAAUAUCCAGAUGUUUGCCUGGCGGGUGAAGCAUGAAUCCUUAGCUUUGCGGACAAACCUGACUCGGAGAGGGAUACCUAUUGAAGAUAAAACCUGCUUAUUUUGUGGUCGGGCGGAAGAGGAUGGAGCACACCUUUUCAUAAAGUGCAAAGUGGUGAAGGAGGUCUGGAGGGAGUUGUCAAUGGAGGCUGAGCGUAUGGAACUGGAAGGCAUAUCAUCGGUGCAUGCAAUGAUGGAUUUCCUUUGGACAGUAGAAGAACAGAAAAGGGUCCGGAUUCUGACCUCAUGGUGGUUGUGGUGGAGCAACCGUAACAAGGUUAGAUAG
RNAcentral lists this ribosomal RNA (660 nucleotides) under Triticum aestivum (bread wheat). Its description in RNAcentral is "partial small subunit ribosomal RNA". Lineage: Eukaryota; Viridiplantae; Streptophyta; Magnoliopsida; Poales; Poaceae. The record is from RNAcentral.